RNAcentral lists this long non-coding RNA (456 nucleotides) under Marmota monax (woodchuck). Lineage: Eukaryota; Metazoa; Chordata; Mammalia; Rodentia; Sciuridae. The record is from RNAcentral.
UCCUACUGGUGCUGCCACCGCCAAGGUACUUGGGCCAUAUAUGUUUCAAAUAGGAAUAGAACAAGGAGGCAGUUGAUCAUAAGAUCUGAAGGGAAGUUUGCCUCCAUCCAAAAAUAUCCUCCAUUCACCAUAAUAGGGUCAAAAAUUCCUUUGGAUUUUGAAAUUUUGAGUCCCCAGAAUGAUCAAUUAUUGUGCAAUGUCCCCUGGCCAAGAGUUGUGUUUUCCCAAAUGUGUUUCAUAAAACCAUUGAUGAUCUCCUAAGUAGUAAAUUUUGGAGAAAAAAUAAAGCAAGAAAUGAUUUUAUCCUCAUAGAUCUCAAACACUUGGAACUGGCAAUUUGAAUAGAACUAGUGCUGCCCCCUUAAUAAUUGUGUUCUUUUUUUUUAAAGAUAAUCUUGUUCUUAAAGCUUCCACAUGGGCUCCGAGGACUGCAAGGGCUCUUGUUUAACAUUCAGG